This 1153-nucleotide long non-coding RNA is filed under the name Marmota monax (woodchuck). Lineage: Eukaryota; Metazoa; Chordata; Mammalia; Rodentia; Sciuridae. The record is from RNAcentral.
CAAAAAAAAAAAAGUCUUCAAGAUUCCUUCCUGCUAUCAACAACAUUAUAUCAUUUCCUUUCUAGGACCAAGCAAUUGAAAGCAUUGAUUUAAUCUACAAAUCUACAAUUAUUUUUUUCCUUGCUACAAUUCAGAACAAAAAUUUCCAUUAAGAAAACAUCACAUUUAAGGUACAAGAAGUAGUUAACCCCCCCCCCCUUUUUUUUUUCUUUUCAGUACUAGUGAUUGAACCCAGGGAUCCUUCACCACUGAGCUACAUCUUCCACCUUUUAAAGUUUUAUUUUGAGAAAGGGUCCUGCUAACUCGAUGAGGUGCCUCCUGCCUCAGUCUCCCAGGUAUGUGGGAUUACAGAGGUGUGCUAUCCUACCUGGCUUAGUAAAAUGUUUUUUAGUAACUUUUUAAAAAUUUAAAUUUAUGUAAGUGAUCAUUACCUUAAGUUAAUCAGGGCAGUAACUCUAAAUUUUUAGAGAUCUAAUUUCUCUAUUCACUUCAGACAGAAAAAGAACAUAUCAAUUUCCUAAGAAUAAUAUAUUUAUAUGUCUGAAAGAAUUUUAUCAAACUGGUGGAGCUUCUAAAGAAACCAUCUAUGGUAAGUAAUAUCAAUUAAGGUGGAAACAGGAGCAGUAGUAAUUUAAUAGCAAGCUUUGUUGUGGGUUGAUCUCUCAGAAAACAUCUCAGUCUGAAUUUUGUCCAAAUUAGAGAGUUUUUUAUUUAGCCAGCUGGGACUGCUCCCUGCAGGACCCAAAUUGUCUCUGCCAGGAACAGUGCCAGUCUGAGUUCUAUGGGGUUUAUAAGGGGAAGAAAACCACAUCCUCAAAAAUGUAGGUGCAGGGCUGGGGAUGUGGCUCAAGCGGUAGCGCGCCACACAUACAAACAAAAGAUGUUGUGUCCGCCAAAAACUAAAAAAUAAAUAUUAAAAAUUCCCUCUCUCUCUCUCUCUCUCUCAAAAAAAAAAAAAUGUAGGUGCAGCAAGAGAGCAUGUUAGAGUCUGUAAACAAGUCAAAAUAACACCUGGCAUUUUGCCAGGGGAAUGUUAGAGUUCCUAAACAAGUCUGGAUGGUGCCUGGCAAAAUGCCAGAGGGAGUGGUUUGAGAAGUAACAAAAACAAGCCAUUAAGUGUGGAGAUUCCUUAUUGGUUGACUGAUGUAUCUAG